Long non-coding RNA from Felis catus (domestic cat), 2613 nucleotides. RefSeq lists it as uncharacterized. The transcript is spliced from 5 exons. Lineage: Eukaryota; Metazoa; Chordata; Mammalia; Carnivora; Felidae. The record is from RefSeq and is a predicted model, not a curated record.
CUGCUUAAGAAUUACCCAGGAAAGUUCCCUGUCUGUAGAAUUCGUGUCGGCACAGAAACAUUAGCAGACCCUUAAAUAUUUUUUAAUAAGUGUAAUGAUAGUGAUGUUUAGACAGAAAAUACUGAAUGUUUGUGUCCCCCUCUAAAUUCAUAUGUUGAAGGCCCCAAAACAAUACGAAGGUAUUUAGAAAUGAGGACUUUAGGAGGUGAUUGGGAUUAGAUUAGGUCCUGAGAGUGGGGCCCUCGUGAUGGGAGUAACGCUUUUAUAAAAGGAAGGGACACUAGAUUCCCCCCACCUCUGUGAGGUCUUAAUAAGGAGAAGACCACCAGCUGCAAACCAGAAAGAGUCUCACCAGAUCCGACCACGGCAUUCUGUUCCAGCAACCUGAAAUAAGGCCAGUGCUCCGAUGCUUCUAGACUGGCUGCUGGAUCAUUAUGGACUAGAAAUUGAAAGAAUUACUUGAGAGAGGAGCAGCAUGGCUGAAAAUCCAAGACCCAGGGUGUGUGGUGUUUGAAGAAGGCAUCUCACCUCCUUAUAUUAGGGGUGUUAGCUGUAAGGAGUCACACAAGUCAGAGCUGCACUGCCCAUUCCAGUUGGGGGAAUUAAUUCUGCCAGGACCUUCUGGUGCCAGCCAGGGCAGGAAGUUCUUAGGCCUUUAGACAGGCCCUGGACAUCAGGGUGCAGCCCGGAGAAGCAGUAUGGUGCAGUGGUUGACAGAAUGGAUUUUUACAACUGAACAGAUUUGUGCUAAAACCCCACUGAGCAAAUUCUACUGCAAAUCUUGGAACUACAGUCUCCUAAUAUGUUAAAUGGAAGUUUGCAAGCCCAGUAAGGAGAUUCUUAAUUAGAAGGUUUAUUUAACCUUAAUAUACUAACUUCUGUAAGACAGUGAAAAACAUUGUGGAUCUAGUAUCUCAGAAGAUGAAAUGGACCAUUUCAUUUUUUUCUGAAAUGACAACAAAGCAGAGCCCAAGUUGUCAGUGUCUCCUGUCACCAUGAACCAUCUACUCCAGAUGCUACCAAUCCCCUUUAAUUUUUUUAUUAGUAAGAUAUGUGAGAUGGAGGUCGCUUUCUGUGUAAAUCUCCCCGUGUCCCUUCCCAGACAGUUUUUCCUUCUGCCUUGGAAUAUUCCUUCAAUGUGCCAUGUAAUCAAGAAGGAACCCAGUGAGAAAAGGUACAUUUUGCAGAAUAUUGGCUAAUUUAAAUUCUUAAAAUAACAGGAAGCUGAAAAUGUUUGCUGAUCCUACUGAAGUUAGUGUUGAGUCAAGGGGUCAUUUUAAUCGAUCCCAGCUGAGCACCACCAAGUAGAAAUCCAGUAUCAGUUCCCUAGUCCCAGUGAGCACCUGGGACCUCUUAAGGAGUGUGUGGUGGGGAAGGAUAGGAGUAAAAUAACAGGUCUUUGUCAUGAGACACUCAUGGGCUUAUUUCCUGUCAAGAUAUGUAAUGUGUAUAUGAUUUAGGACUUCUUAUGAAAAUUCUCUGGGCUAUAACAUUCUCAUGUAAAUAAUGUAAAUAAUAGGGCAUCUGUAGGGGGGGUCACUGCUGUUUCUGCUUGUUUAGGGUUACCAGAUUUAGCAAAUAAAAAUAACACCGAUUUAACUAUGAAUUUCAGAUGAUCAUAUCAUAGUGGGUGUAUGUCCCAAAUAUUGCUGGAACUUAUUUAUACUAAAAGUUAUGCAAUAUUUAGGACAUACUUAUACUAAAAAAUAUAUUCAUUAUUUGCUGUGAAAUGCAAAUUUAAGCGACUGUCUUAUAUUUUAUUCAGCAACUCUAUGCUUAUUCCAUCCCCCUGUUCCCUGAUAAUUCCUGAUGCUUUUCUGGGGAACUGCCCCUCUCCCCAAAUUAGAUCCAUUUGUUUCAGGUAGAGUAACUAUCGCCUCAGCACUAAACAGGCAAUAGAAUACAGGUUUGGCCAAUCAAGCAUUAAAUUCUCCUUAUCACUGUUUCUUGCUCAGAGCUGGGUGUAUGACCUACAGCAGUCCAGUUAGACUCAAUUCUGGGAUUCAAUGAAACAUCUCAAAAAUUUACUUUCUCUCAGGACUGAUGAGAUACAGAUAUAAGCCUGGAGCUGCUGACAGCUGUUUUGCUAAUAUGAUUUGGGAGACUGCUGGAGAACUGAGCUAGGAUGACACCGUAGACCUCAGAGCUGGAGAGUAAUAUUGUGUCCUCAUGAUCUUAUCUGAGUCCCUGGAUUCACCUGUGACUGCAGCUAGCCUACCCCUACAUCUGUGGUUAUAUGAGCCUGUUUUAUAAACUACUUUUUGAUUUAAGCUAUUUUGAGUUGGAUUUCUACCAACAAUAACCAGAAGUGUUCUGAAAAACCUAGAUCAUCAUCAAAUUUUGUGAGUAUGAAAUGUAAAGUGCUAAACAGGAAAUCUGACACAUUUAAGAUGUUUGGCAAAAAUCUGUCCUGUUCUCCCAAAUACACGUAAAUCCCAAAGCACUGCACACACACACAUUCCCUGUCCUAACAGCGAUAUAUGUGUGCGAAUGGAUGGAUUCAUUCAAAGUUAUUCCUCAAGCCAGAAAUAAACAACUUAGGAAAAAAUUUUUUUUUAGUUUUUUUGAAUUUUACUUGUUUGUUUGUUUAUUUAUUUAUCGAGAGUGAGUGGG